UGUAAAGCCCUUUUGUUGGGAAAGAAAUCCAGCUGGCUAAUACCCGGUUGGGAUGACGGUACCCAAAGAAUAAGCACCGGCUAACUUCGUGCCAGCAGCCGCGGUAAUACGAAGGGUGCAAGCGUUACUCGGAAUUACUGGGCGUAAAGCGUGCGUAGGUGGUCGUUUAAGUCCGUUGUGAGAGCCCUGGGCUCAACCUGGGAACUGCAGUGGAUACUGGGCGACUAGAGUGUGGUAGAGGGUAGCGGAAUUCCUGGUGUAGCAGUGAAAUGCGUAGAGAUCAGGAGGAACAUCCAUGGCGAAGGCAGCUACCUGGACCAACACUGACACUGAGGCACGAAAGCGUGGGGAGCAAACAGGAUUAGAUACCCUGGUAGCCCACGCCCUAAACGAUGCGAACUGGUUGUUGGGUCUUCACUGACUCAGUAACGAAGCUAACGCGUGAAGUUG
RNAcentral lists this ribosomal RNA (450 nucleotides) under uncultured Gammaproteobacteria bacterium. RNAcentral's name for it is "bacterial SSU rRNA". It matches the Rfam family "Bacterial small subunit ribosomal RNA", at positions 424 to 867 of the family's 1533-position model. The record is from RNAcentral. Lineage: Bacteria; Pseudomonadati; Pseudomonadota; Gammaproteobacteria.